GCAGCUUUGCAACAGAAGAUUUAUUUUUGGGAGAUUUAGAGUUUUUGUAGCGUUGAAAGGUGAGAAGGUUGGUUAAAACAAUGGUAGGGACUGUUUGAGCAAAACUAUUAGUGGUAAUGAACAGUAUGUAUGAACUUCCAUGCCUUCCAUUACCCUUUAUCUUCAUUCAUUGCAGGUUUGUGUCUCAUCCUAGAGUACCUUCCUCCUGAUUUUGGGUGUCGAUGCUGCUGUUCUAAGUUGGAUCUCAAAAAUGGGCGCAUGUUUAAUAAUGUGAAGACGUUUCUUAUGUUUUUGAUGCUUAAUGUUAUUUUUUUUAUGGCCACUGCAGCUCACUAUGUUAACAGAAGAGCUUUUAGCAACUGCAAAGCAAGCUGAGAGUGCCCAGAACAUUGCAGGUUUAUCACCGCCGAGUUAUUCAGCUGGAGUGCAGUCAGAGGGACUGGAUGGCCUUUUUUACAGUGAUUGCUGUUGUUUCCUUCUGUUUGGAAAUAAGUCAUCAUUUUGUCCAGGUUGCACGUACAAGGAGGUGCGGUUUUGCUCCACCUUGGAGCACUGCUGCUGCAGAGACUGAGCCCACUGAAUUUAUCCUGGAAACAUUGGAACAAAGUGAUCAACGAUCAUUAAUACAAUAUCUUGCUUACCAAGAUUUGUGCGUGGAACCUUGGCACUAAGGGGCCUUCUUUGAGGAGUCCGGUGAAACUUAUAAAAGAAUUGUGACAGCUUGUUUGAAGCCACUUGAGGAGUUUACCUCAAAUAUUGCUGAAGCCCUUGAAGGUUAUAAGCCAGAAUUGUCACAACAGUCCAACCUCUUCAGUGCAUUUGAUGAUUCUCAGACUUAUUUGAAGUGAAGCAUUUGGGUAUGCAAAGGAAAGCUUAUGCCAUGGUGGAUGUUCUUCGAACUUGAGUUUAUCAGAUAGUUCCAGCAUUCAUUGACGACCUGCGAGCAAAUGCAAAACCAGCAAGCAGUUUGGAGAAGAACUGGAUAGG
Long non-coding RNA from Setaria italica (foxtail millet), 987 nucleotides. RefSeq lists it as uncharacterized. NCBI's taxonomy places the organism in Eukaryota, Viridiplantae, Streptophyta, Magnoliopsida, Poales, Poaceae. The transcript is spliced from 4 exons. The record is from RefSeq and is a predicted model, not a curated record.